This 465-nucleotide ribosomal RNA is filed under the name uncultured Klebsiella sp. RNAcentral's name for it is "bacterial SSU rRNA". It matches the Rfam family "Bacterial small subunit ribosomal RNA", at positions 338 to 795 of the family's 1533-position model. The record is from RNAcentral. Lineage: Bacteria; Pseudomonadati; Pseudomonadota; Gammaproteobacteria; Enterobacterales; Enterobacteriaceae.
CCUACGGGUGGCUGCAGUGGGGAAUAUUGCACAAUGGGCGCAAGCCUGAUGCAGCCAUGCCGCGUGUGUGAAGAAGGCCUUCGGGUUGUAAAGCACUUUCAGCGGGGAGGAAGGCGGUGAGGUUAAUAACCUCAUCGAUUGACGUUACCCGCAGAAGAAGCACCGGCUAACUCCGUGCCAGCAGCCGCGGUAAUACGGAGGGUGCGAGCGUUAAUCGGAAUUACUGGGCGUAAAGCGCACGCAGGCGGUCUGUCAAGUCGGAUGUGAAAUCCCCGGGCUCAACCUGGGAACUGCAUUCGAAACUGGCAGGCUAGAGUCUUGUAGAGGGGGGUAGAAUUCCAGGUGUAGCGGUGAAAUGCGUAGAGAUCUGGAGGAAUACCGAUGGCGAAGGCGGCCCCCUGGACAAAGACUGACGCUCAGGUGCGAAAGCGUGGGGAGCAAACAGGAUUAGAUACCCGUGUAGUC